UGGGGAAUUUUGGACAAUGGGCGAAAGCCUGAUCCAGCAAUGCCGCGUGUGUGAAGAAGGCCUUCGGGUUGUAAAGCNCUUUUGUCCGGAAAGAAAUCCUUGGCUCUAAUACAGUCGGGGGAUGACGGUACGGAAGAAUAAGCACCGGCUAACUACGUGCCAGCAGCCGCGGUAAUACGUAGGGUGCAAGCGUUAAUCGGAAUUACUGGGCGUAAAGCUGCGCAGGCGGUUUGCUAAGACCGAUGUGAAAUCCCCGGGCUCAACCUGGGAACUGCAUUGGUGACUGGCAGGCUAGAGUAUGGCAGAGGGGGGUAGAAUUCCACGUGUAGCAGUGAAAUGCGUAGAGAUGUGGAGGAAUACCGAUGGCGAAGGCAGCCCCCUGGGCCAAUACUGACGCUCAUGCACGAAAGCGUGGGGGAGCAAACAGGAUUAGAUACCCUGGUAGUCCACGCCCUAAAACGAUGUCAACUAGUUGUUGGGGAUUCAUUUCCUUAGUAACGUAGCUAACGCGUGAAGUUGACCGCCUGGGGGAGUACGGUCGCAAGAUUAAAACUCAAAGGAAUUGACGGGGUCAUAGCUGUUUCCU
Molecule: ribosomal RNA, 586 nt
Filed under: uncultured bacterium
Lineage: Bacteria
Description: partial 16S ribosomal RNA
Rfam family: Bacterial small subunit ribosomal RNA
Source: RNAcentral